AUUUGUUGCUAAAAGAGUAAAAGGUUCUCCUUUCCUUUUAUAUUUUGUCCCUUGGUAUUUCCCAAUUUACCCUCUUUGUCUGCCUUCCUCCAGCUUCUCUGAUGUUGAAUCCUAGACUUGCAUUGGAAAUCAUGGAGUUCGUGGGCGCCAAGGUCAGGAAAACUCUUUUUCAUGCCAGAUCUGCCUAUUCUCCGCCUCAUAGAUCUGUUCGAGCUAGUGUGCCUGAGUAACCGCUAUUCAGUACUAGUUCAGCCGCUUCGGGUAGCAAGUUUAUCGGCAUUUCUUAGUUCGAUGGGAUCCGUACCUGUGUUGAGGUGACCUAGGAACGGUUAUAGAAAGCUGAAUCAUAAAGAACCCCAUAAUGCGCUACUUCCAAUGACCGAACUGAAAAAGGUUUGUUCUUAACCUGAUCUUGCUGUUUUGCUGAUGGUAUGGUGCUAUUCAGAGACAGAUUCGAAGAUCUCAAUACCAAAUGCGAUACAGUUCCUUUGCUUGAUUGUUUUAAUUGCGAUUCGCGCAAUGUAGAAGGAGGAAGGCUUAGACACACGUGAUGAUAAUUGAUAUCAGUUUGUAGCUGGCAAGAGCACGAGGAAUGACAAGCUUUUGCUUCAAGCUAAUUUAACAUUUCAAAUGCUUUGGGACUUAAUAUUUAUAGCCAACCAUAGCAUUUGCUCAGUUAUUCAUUUGUUGCUAAAAAGUUCUCCUUUUCUUCUUCUUUUUUUCCCCUUCCUAUUUUAAAAUUGUUCAUCAAGAGCUAUCUCUUGUAGUGAUAUCACAAGUCAUAAGAUGCAUGAGAUGGAGAUGAAAGAGGGAAUGGACGUGUUAGAUGUGAUAUAUACUAUUGUACCUUCUUGAUGAGCUUUGGUUUUGUACCGAAUCCUUUUGUAACAUGUACAUAUUCAAGAUGAUGUUUUAUUACUCUUU
Molecule: long non-coding RNA, 924 nt
Organism: Arachis duranensis
Lineage: Eukaryota; Viridiplantae; Streptophyta; Magnoliopsida; Fabales; Fabaceae
Exons: 3
Source: RefSeq, a predicted model, not a curated record